RNAcentral lists this transfer RNA (84 nucleotides) under Myxacorys californica. RNAcentral's name for it is "tRNA-Leu". It matches the Rfam family "tRNA". Rfam says of the family: Transfer RNA (tRNA) molecules are approximately 80 nucleotides in length. RNAcentral also lists the same sequence under 1 other name. Lineage: Bacteria; Bacillati; Cyanobacteriota; Cyanophyceae; Leptolyngbyales; Leptolyngbyaceae. The record is from RNAcentral.
GCUCUUGUGGCGGAAUUGGUAGACGCGCUAGAUUCAGGAUCUAGUGGGUGAAAGCCCGUGGAGGUUCGAGUCCUCUCGAGAGCA